GCCCUUAGAGUUUGAUCAUGGCUCAGGACGAACGCUGGCGGCGGGCCUAACACAUGCAAGUCACACGAGAAAGCGCCUUCGGGCGUGAGUACAGUGGCGGACGGGUGAGUAACGCGUAUGCAACCUACCCUUGAGCGGGGGACAAUCACGGGAAACCGUGGCUAAUACCGCAUAAAAUCUCGGUUGCGCCUGCAACCGAGAUCAAAGCCUUCGGGCGCUCUUGGAUGGGCAUGCGUCGGAUUAGCUUGUUGGUGAGGUAGAAGCUCACCAAGGCAACGAUCCGUAGCUGGUCUGAGAGGAUGAUCAGCCACACUGGCACUGAGACACGGGCCAGACUCCUACGGGAGGCAGCAGUGGGGAAUCUUGCACAAUGGAGGAAACUCUGAUGCAGCCACGCCGCGUGGAGGAAGACACCCCUAUGGGGCGUAAACUCCUUUUCUGCCGGAAGAAAACCCUGGUCUCCAGGGCGUGACGGUACGGCAGGAAUAAGCACCGGCUAACUCCGUGCCAGCAGCCGCGGUAAUACGGAGGGUGCAAGCGUUGUCCGGAAUUACUGGGUGUAAAGGGUGCGCAGGCGGGGCAGCAAGUCAGAGGUGAAAGCCCACGGCUUAACCGUGGAAGUGCCUUUGAAACUGCUGUUCUUGAGUCCCGGACGGUACUGACCUCAGCACA
RNAcentral lists this ribosomal RNA (672 nucleotides) under uncultured Bacteroidota bacterium. RNAcentral's name for it is "bacterial SSU rRNA". It matches the Rfam family "Bacterial small subunit ribosomal RNA", at positions 1 to 677 of the family's 1533-position model. The record is from RNAcentral. Lineage: Bacteria; Pseudomonadati; Bacteroidota.